AGGACGAACGCUGGCGGCGUGCUUAACACAUGCAAGUCGAGGGGGCAGUUGGGGCAACCUGGCUGUCACCGGCGAACGGGUGCGUAACACGUGAGCGACCUACCUCUUGGCGGGGGAUAGCCGGCCCAACGGCCGGGUAAUACCGCAUACGCUCCCUUUUGGGCAUCUGGAGGGAGGGAACUUUCGAGGCAGAGAGAGGGGCUCGCGGCCUAUCAGCUAGUUGGCGGG
This 228-nucleotide ribosomal RNA is filed under the name uncultured soil bacterium. Its description in RNAcentral is "partial 16S ribosomal RNA". It matches the Rfam family "Bacterial small subunit ribosomal RNA", at positions 26 to 256 of the family's 1533-position model. The record is from RNAcentral.